Molecule: transfer RNA, 73 nt
Filed under: Blattella germanica (German cockroach)
Lineage: Eukaryota; Metazoa; Arthropoda; Insecta; Blattodea; Blattellidae
Description: tRNA-Val (AAC) (tRNA-Val-AAC-16-1)
Source: RNAcentral
AUUUCCGUGGUGUAGUGGUUAUCACACCCGCCUAACACACGGGAGGUUCCCGGUUCGAUCCCGGGCGGAAACA